This 1194-nucleotide long non-coding RNA is filed under the name Canis lupus familiaris (dog). Its description in RNAcentral is "lncRNA (ENSCAFG00040022381.1)". Lineage: Eukaryota; Metazoa; Chordata; Mammalia; Carnivora; Canidae. The record is from RNAcentral.
CGCACACGCCCGCAGGCAGGUGGGUGAUGGAUGCAGGGUGUGCAGGAGCCACGUAGGCAAGUUCUCUUCCUCCUGGCCACUUAGGUUUGAUUUGAAGGUUGGUUUCAGCCUGGCUGAGCCGGCCCAGGGCCCAGGCACCUCACAAGCAUCAUCUCCCAUCAAACAGCAUGAAUAAUUUAGUCUCUAAUUAAAAGUGAGGUCAAGCCAUGAAAAAUGGCUGGAUGUCCGGUGACACCAUGAUGCAUUAAAUUGCUGGCAGAGCUGAGGCAGGCGGGCAGGAAGCUCUGGUGUCAGCAUGGAGGCAGCGUGGUGGGGCACCCUGGGAGGAGGGUCUCCAAGUAAGGGCGAGGUUGCUGGGCAGACCCAGGGACACCCCCUUCCUGCCACCAUUGUCACCUGAGGGGCUCCCUGCCCUCCAACCACCCCCUUGCCCUCUUGCUUUCCCCAAACACACCAGAUCCAUCCUGCUGUGGGUCUGUGCAUGUGUUCUUUCUGGAAUAUUCUUCCCCCAAUACCUGGUUGGCUUCCUUCCUUGCUUUAUUCAGAUCUUGCUCAAAUGUCACCUUGCCUGUCCACACUGGCUAUGAUGCCAUCUGCCCACCCCACUGGCCCGUUUUCUUUGUCCCACUCCCUGCCUGGGUCUCUGGGCAGUACCUCUCACUGCUCGGUGUUCUAGUUUAUACUGAGUUGUCUAUCUCUCCAACUAGAGGGCCAAGGUCCCACGUGUCCCCAGCACCAAGGACAGCACCCAGCACACAGCCGGUGCAGUGGAGGCUGAGCACCACAGGGAUGUCCCUCCAGCCCAGAGCCCCCUGGAAACAGAGACAGAUGAGGGGCAGAGCUGAACCGCCAGCUUAUCUGCUUCUGUGUUCUCUCCCUCUCUCCUCUUGGCUGCCGGGACCCUCUUCGGCCAUUGAGCGAAACCAUCUGCCACCAGAGCCGUGAGUCUCCGGCAGAAGCCGCGGCGACAAGCUCGAGAUGUGCGGGUUGUAGUUAUCAGCAGAAGCAACAUCUGCCCGCCCGGCCGCCAACAAUGGUAGGCCAUUUAGCCCGUCCCCUCCUCCCCUGAGCUGCAGACAACAGCUCCCAGUAUUAUAUUUUCCCACUCAAUUAGCACCAUCAUCCUGCUGAAAGAGAGGCCAAUUUACCUAUAAUGACAUCAUUGUUAGGGAAGUGGCGGCUGGGCUGUCACCA